UGGGGAAUUUUGGACAAUGGGCGAAAGCCUGAUCCAGCAAUGCCGCGUGUGUGAAGAAGGCCUUCGGGUUGUAAAGCACUUUUGUCCGGAAAGAAAUCCUUGGCUCUAAUACAGUCGGGGGAUGACGGUACCGGAAGAGUAAGCACCGGCUAACUACGUGCCAGCAGCCGCGGUAAUACGUAGGGUGCAAGCGUUAAUCGGAAUUACUGGGCGUAAAGCGUGCGCAGGGCGGUUUGCUAAGACCGAUGUGAAAUCCCCGGGCUCAACCUGGGAACUGCAUUGGUGACUGGCAGGCUAGAGUAUGGCAGAGGGGGGUAGAAUUCCACGUGUAGCAGUGAAAUGCGUAGAGAUGUGGAGGAAUACCGAUGGCGAAGGCAGCCCCCUGGGCCAAUACUGACGCUCAUGCACGAAAGCGUGGGGAGCAAACAGGAUUAGAUACCCUGGUAGUCCACGCCCUAAACGAUGUCAACUAGUUGUUGGGGAUUCAUUUCCUUAGUAACGUAGCUAACGCGUGAAGUUGACCG
Molecule: ribosomal RNA, 524 nt
Filed under: uncultured bacterium
Lineage: Bacteria
Description: partial 16S ribosomal RNA
Rfam family: Bacterial small subunit ribosomal RNA
Source: RNAcentral